UCCCUGGUAGUAUAUCGGAUUAGUACACGCGCCUGUCAUCCCAAGAUUGUUUGUUGGACCGCGCGAGAGCGGGGUUCGACUCCCCGCCAGGGAG
Non-coding RNA from Amylostereum chailletii, 94 nucleotides. The record is from the annotation of a GenBank genome assembly. NCBI's taxonomy places the organism in Eukaryota, Fungi, Basidiomycota, Agaricomycetes, Russulales, Stereaceae.